GGCUGCAGAGACAGGAAAAAGCAGUUAAGCACCUGAACACACUCCAGGGGCGCUUUGCCAAUGGGAGCCAUGAGGAGGCCUUUGCCCUGAAAAUGCAAACGAACCUGCGGUACCAUUUGCCCCCAGCUUCUAGGAAUUCCUCUGCCUGUUGAAAUGACAUUAAAAGGACAAUGACAGGGCUGUGGCGGGGGUGGGAGGGCAUCCUUGCACAGUGGAGGUAAACGAACCGGGCAAGCAGCAUGCAUCUGUUCAAGACUUCUCUGGUUUCCAUACCACUUUCCAAGGCAAAACGGUGGUGGUUUGGGGAUUGUGGUGGGGGCCGCUUUGUGAGGAUACAGGCAGAGCCUAGGGCAUGAAGGUCCAGCAUACCCACAAACUCUACCAGUGUGUGGGCUGAAGCUGUGGCUGUCCAGGUGCUGGACCCAUCGAGGAACUCACUCAGAAACUGCCAUGGAAGCGAGAAUGGAAAAGAGCGAGCCCUUGAGAACAGCUGGAAGAAGGAGCAUUUCCAGCAGAAGCUACAAUCGUUUACCCUGUGGUAUAAACACCUGGACGGGAAGAGGAAGCCAGAGCUCCUCUGUGGACAGAGCUCAGCUGAGAACUCCCGCCUGGCUGUGACGUCCAGGUCAUGCCGCCUGGAUGCGCUAAGUCCCCAGCUGAGGAUGUCUGCUGUCUGCCCUCCUACCUCUGCUAUCUGCUCCCUUUCUUUGCUCGCUGCACAUUAAUAAAAACACACUCACUUGCGAGUUCA
Non-coding RNA from Myodes glareolus (Bank vole), 751 nucleotides. Lineage: Eukaryota; Metazoa; Chordata; Mammalia; Rodentia; Cricetidae. The record is from RefSeq and is a predicted model, not a curated record.